CCUACGGGAGGCAGCAGUGGGGAAUAUUGGGCAAUGGGCGCAAGUCUGACCCAGCAAUGCCGCGUGAAGGAAGAAGGCUCUCGGGUUGUAAAACUCUUUUAUUCGGGACGAAACAAAUGACGGUACCGACUGAAUAAGCUACGGCUAACUACGGGACAGCAGCCGCGGUAAUACGUAGGUGGCAAGCGUUAUCCGGAUUUAAUGGGUGUAAAGGGUGUUUAGGCGGGAGGGCAAGUCAGACGUGAAAUUCCAGGGCUCAACCCUGGAACUGCGUUUGAAACUGUUCUUCGAGAGAAAUGGAGAGGCAGGCGGAAUGUAGUGUGUAGCGGUGAAAUGCGUAGAUAUAC
Molecule: ribosomal RNA, 347 nt
Filed under: uncultured bacterium
Lineage: Bacteria
Description: partial 16S ribosomal RNA
Rfam family: Bacterial small subunit ribosomal RNA
Source: RNAcentral